AAUAAUAAUUGGAAAGACCUAUAAUUAGACUUAUAGACUCUAGAAACUGAAAGCUAAAAAGACCUUGGGAAUGAUGCUGAGCUAGCACAAAGUGAAGACGAGGAAAUGAAAGGUCAGAAAGGUAGAAAAUAACCCUCUGGUAUUUGUAAAACUGCUGUACGUAUGGUAAGACCAAGAGCUGCCUUCCUUCCGCAAAAUCAGCAUGCAUCUGCCUGACACGGAGCUCACCUGCAAAAGCCACAAACCACAGCACCUAACACCUAAGAAGCUUUAGUUUUCUCCUCCAUGACGAAGGCUGUAACAAUCAGCAAAUGUAGGAACAAAAUAAGGGGUCUAUUCAGGCUCUUGGUAAGUUUGCUGACCGUGACCAGAUCAACAAAUAAGACUGGCCUCAUAUAGAUUUCACAAGACCAAGAGGAUGAGCUCCAGAAAGGGAAGACCUGUGCCCUCCAUCCAGCGUACCUAGAACAUGGCUUGGCUCAAAGUGGUUCGCGAUAAAAUAUGUUUGAUGUUGAACAGCUGGAUGAUGAAUUAGAUAACCUUCCAAAAGAGCUCAUGUUUUUUCAACAUUAAUGUACAUUCACAGAUUUAGAUAGAUGCCACUAUGAUGCUCUCAACAUCUUAAGGGAUUAGGAGAAAAGAUACACAGUGGCAAUGGCAACACAG
Molecule: long non-coding RNA, 666 nt
Organism: Hyaena hyaena (striped hyena)
Lineage: Eukaryota; Metazoa; Chordata; Mammalia; Carnivora; Hyaenidae
Exons: 4
Source: RefSeq, a predicted model, not a curated record